RNAcentral lists this ribosomal RNA (447 nucleotides) under uncultured bacterium. Its description in RNAcentral is "bacterial SSU rRNA". It matches the Rfam family "Bacterial small subunit ribosomal RNA", at positions 330 to 794 of the family's 1533-position model. The record is from RNAcentral.
GCCAGACUCCUACGGGAGGCAGCAGUGGGGAAUAUUGCACAAUGGGGGAAACCCUGAUGCAGCGACGCCGCGUGAGUGAAGAAGUACCUCGGUACGUAAAGCUCUAUCAGCAGGGAAGAAAAUGACGGUACCUGACCAAGAAGCCCCGGCUAACUACGUGCCAGCAGCCGCGGUAAUACGUAGGGGGCAAGCGUUAUCCGGAUUUACUGGGUGUAAAGGGAGCGUAGACGGCAGCGCAAGUCUGGAGUGAAAUCCCGGGGCUCAACCCCGGAACUGCUUUGGAAACUGCGCGGCUCGAGUGCAGGAGGGGCAGGCGGAAUUCCUAGUGUAGCGGUGAAAUGCGUAGAUAUUAGGAGGAACACCAGUGGCGAAGGCGGCCUGCUGGACUGUAACUGACGUUGAGGCUCGAAAGCGUGGGGAGCAAACAGGAUUAGAUACCCGGGUAAC